Eurytemora carolleeae is the source of this 320-nucleotide long non-coding RNA. RefSeq lists it as uncharacterized. The record is from RefSeq and is a predicted model, not a curated record. NCBI's taxonomy places the organism in Eukaryota, Metazoa, Arthropoda, Copepoda, Calanoida, Temoridae. The transcript is spliced from 4 exons.
UUUUUAGGAAUUUUUCGAAUGCCCUGGUCCUGACGAUCCCCCGGAGUAUACAUUGUGCUGCGAGGAAAAAUGCUGUCCGUUGAUCCAUGUUGACUCUGUGAUGGGUGUGGAUAUAAAGGUAGCAAUGGUGAUUUCUCUCACAGUCAUCAUUCUUUGCUUCAUCCUAGGGAUUACAAUAAUAGUCUGUUGCUUCUGGUCUCCCUGUCCUAUGUAUGAUACCUGUGGUGGUGGAUAUAAAAGGAAGGAGGGCACUGUCCCUUUUGGUGAAUAUGACAGUCGAGACACCGAUCCAUUGACAAGGAAACAAAUAUGGAAAAUAU